AUGUAUACACACAUAGCUCGUGGAGGCCAAAGCCCAAAUUCCCCUCCGCCUAGCCUGACCACUCCGCCCGCUCUUCCUCUCCGUUUUCCCAAGUCCUCGGCGCCGCCGCCCGCCGUCCCCACCAAGCACCACCCGUCCGCCACCGCCACCACCUCCCUCUCCCUCUCCACCCGCGCGCGCGACGCCUCCCCCAGCGCCCCGUCCCCCUCGCUGUCUCCUCCGGCGGACGGGGUCGGCCCCACGGUGCCGAUGCGGGGCGACGUGUACCUGGGACGGCAGCUCGCGGCCGCGGCCGCGGCGGGCGCCCGCACGCGCACGCCGGAGGAGGACGCCGAGAGGCGCCGCCGCCGCAAGGAGAAGCGGAGGGCCCUGGCCAAGAAGAUGCCCUCCGGGGUCGCCUGCUGCUAUGGCUGCGGUGCCCCGCUGCAUACCGGCGAGGAGGGGUCCCCCGGCCACGUCGAGCCCGCCACCUACGACCUGAAGAAGAGGCACAACCAACUGAAGACCGUGCUAUGCAGGCGGUGCAAGCUGCUGUCGCACGGAAGAGUACCACCUUUCUUCAGUGAAGCUUUGGCUGUGGUCUCUCUUGACAUCAAGUCUAACCAAAGCUUCUCCCUCCGGUUAUGCAGGUUGACACGAAAAUCCUCCAAAUCCAGUCCACCAACGGAGGCAAUGAAUCAUCAUUGUGGCCGCGUCGUGUACAAAGGGUCAAGGCUACCCAUGUGUCCAUGA
RNAcentral lists this ribosomal RNA (732 nucleotides) under Triticum aestivum (bread wheat). RNAcentral's name for it is "partial small subunit ribosomal RNA". Lineage: Eukaryota; Viridiplantae; Streptophyta; Magnoliopsida; Poales; Poaceae. The record is from RNAcentral.